GAAAAUCAGGGUUUGAAGAGCUUGACCCCAUCAAUCGUAUGCAAACAACAAUGACAAACAAGCGAGGACGAAAGAAGGGAUAGAUACCUGAAAUCGUCACCACCACCAGAGUUUCGCCGGAUUUCCAAAGUUCCUGAGAAACCUCGUCACCUUCGCUUUAGGUUUCAACGGAGGAACAAUAACCGAGGUUCGUCCGAUCUUCUUGUUGCGUUUGAUGUUUCCCGUUUGGUAAUGAU
Molecule: long non-coding RNA, 236 nt
Filed under: Lathyrus oleraceus (garden pea)
Lineage: Eukaryota; Viridiplantae; Streptophyta; Magnoliopsida; Fabales; Fabaceae
Description: Pisum sativum (pea) long non-coding RNA (PSAT_LNC009046)
Source: RNAcentral